RNAcentral lists this ribosomal RNA (467 nucleotides) under uncultured bacterium. Its description in RNAcentral is "partial 16S ribosomal RNA". It matches the Rfam family "Bacterial small subunit ribosomal RNA", at positions 28 to 507 of the family's 1533-position model. The record is from RNAcentral.
GACGAACGCUGGCGGCGUGCUUAACACAUGCAAGUCGAACGGAAAGGCCCUGCUUUUGUGGGGUGCUCGAGUGGCGAACGGGUGAGUAACACGUGAGUAACCUGCCCUUGACUUUGGGAUAACUUCAGGAAACUGGGGCUAAUACCGGAUAGGAGCUCCUGCUGCAUGGUGGGGGUUGGAAAGUUUCGGCGGUUGGGGAUGGACUCGCGGCUUAUCGGCUUGUUGGUGGGGUAGUGGCUUACCAAGGCUUUGACGGGUAGCCGGCCUGAGAGGGUGACGGGCACAUUGGGACUGAGAUACGGCCCAGACUCCUACGGGAGGCAGCAGUGGGGAAUAUUGCACAAUGGGCUGAAGCCUGAUGCAGCAACGCCGCGUGCGGGAUGACGGCCUUCGGGUUGUAAACCGCUUUCGCCUGUGACGAAGCGUGAGUGACGGUAAUGGGUAAAGAAGCACCGGCUAACUACGUG